UUGACGGGGAGCACCACGAACGGGUGGAGCUUGCGGUUUAAUUGGAUUCAACGCCGGAAUCUUACCGGGACCGACAGCAAUUAUGAAGGCCAGGCUGAAGACUUUGCCGGAUUAGCUGAGAGGUGGUGCAUGGCCGUCGUCAGUUCGUACUGUGAAGCAUCCUGUUAAGUCAGGCAACGAGCGAGACCCACGCCCACAGUUGCCAGCGUACUCUCUGGAGUGACGGGUACACUGUGGGGACCGCCGCUGCUAAAGCGGAGGAAGGAAUGGGCAACGGUAGGUCAGUAUGCCCCGAAUAUCCCGGGCUACACGCGAGCUACAAUGGUUGGUACAAUGGGUAUCUACCCCGAAAGGGGACGGGAAUCUCCUAAAACCAAUCUUAGUUCGGAUUGAGGGCUGCAACUCGCCCUCAUGAAGCUGGAAUCCGUAGUAAUCGCGUUUCAACAGAACGCGGUGAAUACGUCCCUGCUCCUU
This 474-nucleotide ribosomal RNA is filed under the name uncultured Methanosaeta sp. RNAcentral describes it as "bacterial SSU rRNA". It matches the Rfam family "Archaeal small subunit ribosomal RNA", at positions 871 to 1337 of the family's 1478-position model. Lineage: Archaea; Methanobacteriati; Methanobacteriota; Methanomicrobia; Methanotrichales; Methanotrichaceae. The record is from RNAcentral.